ACAAUGAAGAGUUUGAUCCUGGCUCAGGAUGAACGCUAGCUACAGGCUUAACACAUGCAAGUCGAGGGGCAGCAUGAAUAUUGGCUUGCCAAUAUUUGAUGGCGACCGGCGCACGGGUGAGUAACACGUAUCCAACCUUCCGGUUACUCGGGGAUAGGCUUUCGAAAGAAAGAUUAAUACCCGAUGUUGUGUAUCUUUCUCCUGAUUGAUACGCCAAAGGAUUCCGGUAACCGAUGGGGAUGCGUUCCAUUAGGCAGUUGGCGGGGUAACGGCCCACCAAACCUUCGAUGGAUAGGGGUUCUGAGAGGAAGGUCCCCCACAUUGGAACUGAGACACGGUCCAAACUCCUACGGGAGGCAGCAGUGAGGAAUAUUGGUCAAUGGACGGAAGUCUGAACCAGCCAAGUAGCGUGAAGGAUGACUGCCCUCUGGGUUGUAAACUUCUUUUAUACGGGAAUAACAUGAGGUACGGGUACCUUAUUGCAUGUACCGUUAUGAAUAAGCAUCGGCUAACUCCGUGCCAGCAGCCGCGGUAAUACGGAGGAUGCGAGCGUUAUCCGGAUUUAUUGGGUUUAAAGGGAGCGUAGGUGGGAUAUUAAGUCAGCUGUGAAAGUUUGGGGCUCAACCUUAAAAUUGCAGUUGAUACUGGUUUUCUUGAGUACGGUAUAGGUGGGCGGAAUUCGUGGUGUAGCGGUGAAAUGCUUAGAUAUCACGAAGAACUCCUAUUGCGAAGGCAGCUCACUGGACCGGCACUGACACUGAUGCUCGAAAGUGCGGGUAUCAAACAGGAUUAGAUACCCUGGUAGUCCGCACAGUAAACGAUGAAUACUCGCUGUUUGCGAUACACAGUAAGCGGCCAAGCGAAAGCGUUAAGUAUUCCACCUGGGGAGUACGCCGGCAACGGUGAAACUCAAAGGAAUUGACGGGGGCCCGCACAAGCGGAGGAACAUGUGGUUUAAUUCGAUGAUACGCGAGGAACCUUACCCGGGCUUAAAUUGCGCUGGCUUUUACCGGAAACGGUAUUUUCUUCGGACCAGCGUGAAGGUGCUGCAUGGUUGUCGUCAGCUCGUGCCGUGAGGUGUCGGCUUAAGUGCCAUAACGAGCGCAACCCUUAUCUUUAGUUGCCAUCAGGUUUUGCUGGGGACUCUAAAGAGACUGCCGUCGUAAGAUGCGAGGAAGGUGGGGAUGACGUCAAAUCAGCACGGCCCUUACGUCCGGGGCUACACACGUGUUACAAUGGGGAGCACAGCAGGUUGCUACACGGCGACGUGAUGCCAAUCCGUAAAACUCCUCUCAGUUCGGAUCGAAGUCUGCAACCCGACUUCGUGAAGCUGGAUUCGCUAGUAAUCGCGCAUCAGCCACGGCGCGGUGAAUACGUUCCCGGGCCUUGUACACACCGCCCGUCAAGCCAUGAAAGCCGGGGGUACCUGAAGUACGUAACCGCAAGGAUCGUCCUAGGGUAAACCUGGUGAUUGGGGCUAAGUCGUAACAAGGUAGCCGUACCGGAAGGUGCGGCUGGAACACCUCCUUU
RNAcentral lists this ribosomal RNA (1530 nucleotides) under Bacteroides pyogenes. RNAcentral describes it as "bacterial SSU rRNA". It matches the Rfam family "Bacterial small subunit ribosomal RNA". Lineage: Bacteria; Pseudomonadati; Bacteroidota; Bacteroidia; Bacteroidales; Bacteroidaceae. The record is from RNAcentral.